UGCCGGAUAAGGCGUCACGCUGCAUCCGACAUUUGCAUAUGAUGCCUGAUGCGACGCUGGCGCGUUUUAUCAGGCC
This 76-nucleotide non-coding RNA is filed under the name Escherichia coli. RNAcentral's name for it is "Nucleoid-associated noncoding RNA 4 (CssrE)". It matches the Rfam family "Nucleoid-associated noncoding RNA 4 (CssrE)". From Rfam's summary of the family: In E. coli small RNA transcribed from repeated extragenic palindromic element (REP325) called nucleoid-associated ncRNA 4 (nRNA4) collaborates HU protein in condensing the DNA. RNAcentral also lists the same sequence under 3 other names. The record is from RNAcentral. Lineage: Bacteria; Pseudomonadati; Pseudomonadota; Gammaproteobacteria; Enterobacterales; Enterobacteriaceae.